This is a long non-coding RNA of Pogona vitticeps (central bearded dragon), 1665 nucleotides long. Lineage: Eukaryota; Metazoa; Chordata; Lepidosauria; Squamata; Agamidae. The record is from Ensembl.
GGUAUGUGAGCUAUUCAGACUGGUUUAUGAGGGACAACCUCCUGUGAGUAUCUGUGUGUAGGCAGGGAUUUCCAGCCAGGUCUUCACAGUCAUAGUUCAAUACUCUGUCCACCAUAACACACUGGCUCUCAUUUUACAUCCCGGGUGUAGCUCGAAGCUUUGGAGAGCAGUGAACAACAACUCUUUAAUAUUUAUUACCUGGUAUGUUGCAAUGUCACAUUGUACACUGGGCUUCAAGCUGAGAAAAUACAAGUGGCCCUGCUAGCUUUCUAUCCUUACACUUCUGGUUCAGUCUGGGAAGAGCAACAAGAGGGCACUGCAAUAUAUGUGUUGCACAUUUUAUUGUAGAUCAACAAGGAGUCCAACCAAGAUUUUCCUCUUAUAAAGCAGCCACCAGUUUGCAGCCAAAGUGAAUUUAUUUAAAUUAUCCAUAUCGUCUUCUAAACUCAGUCCAAAUCUUGCAUCUGGUUGCAGGGAAAUGCCUCAUGGCCUGGUGACAUGCAUGCAGAUGGUUGAUUUUUAUUUAAAAGUUGAAAAACUAAGAUAAAUAUAAUAAAUAAAAAUAAAAACAUCAGACAAUGAUCUGAGAUGAGUGGAUAAGAUCUUGUUCUUUCCAGUGCCAUUUCUGCAGUGUAUGCGACUGGGGGGAAGAUAGCAACUCAGCAUCCUUGCAAAAUUCCCAGCUCUCUCAUUCACCAAAGAAGAAAUAAGCAAACUGUAAAGAAAUGUAACAUGCAUAUUUUCGUCCCAUCGCUAUGCCCCCCGGUAGCGAAACCCCUUUCUUUUUAACGAAAGAAUGGCAAACUUCUCAGUUUUUUCAGCGACAGGAAGUGAUGGCGUUGGAAGGUCUUUCGACUUCUUAUAUUUAUGUUCCAUUCGCAGCUCUCUGAUUUGUUGCUCCGGUAACUGAAACAGCUUCCUCUUUGCACCGGAAGUGUCCUCAUGGCACGUCCUGUUGCUUUGUAUCACGUGACCACCCUGGAAGCCUUGUGUAAGAUGGCGGCGCCCGUGUCGGAACCAGUCGUAGAUGGGGAGGGGUCGAUAAAAUUGAGCCACAAGAAGUACAGAGCACUUUUGAAAAAAGAGAAACGAAAGAAAAAGAGACAAGCAUUGGCAAGACUGAGAGAUUCAGAGAAAGCAGAUGAACAUGAACAUAUUUAAGAAGAAAAUGCAGAUGAUGAUGAAGAAGAAAAACUUGAAGAGGAAAGGCAAAGGCUUCAUGAAGAGUGGUUACUGAGAGAAACAAAGGCUCAAGAAGCUUUCAAGAUCAGAAAAGAAAAAGAAGAGGCAGCAAAAAAGCGUCAAGAAGAAGAAGAGGUUUAACAUAUGUUUUGAUAUAUUUGUGGACAGAUUUUUAGAGUUGAUGUUUUAAACAUUAAAAAUCCCUGAUGUCUAUUAAACAGUGGUUCCCAACCUUGGGCCCUCCGAUAUUCUUGGACCAGAACUCCCAGUAGCCUUCACUACUCGCUGUGCUGGCCAGGAUUUUGGAGAGUUGUCGUCCAAGAACAUCUGGAGAUCCAAGGUUUGAAACCAUAGCUUUAAAAGAACGAGACAAUGAAGUUGAACUUUCACCUUUCGUUAGCUUUGGAAAGAUGACACUAAAGUAUAGCAGUUAGUAUUGUUGGCCUUCAUAAUAAACUAAAGAAGGAAUACUAACUUUAGCCA